GCCGGGCGCCGUGGUGCACACCUGUCAUCCCAGCAGCUCAGGAGGCUGAGGCAGGAGGAUUGUGAGUUCAAAGCCAGCCCCAGCAACUUAAUGAGGCCCUAAGUAACUUAUCAAGACCCUGUCUCUA
This 127-nucleotide small RNA is filed under the name Marmota monax (woodchuck). The record is from RNAcentral. Lineage: Eukaryota; Metazoa; Chordata; Mammalia; Rodentia; Sciuridae.